GUGGUAAUUCUAGAGCUAAUACAUGCUGAAAACCCCGACUUCGGAAGGGAUGUAUUUAUUAGAUUAAAAACCAAUGCCCUUCUGGGCUCCCUGGUGAUUCAUGAUAACUUCUCGAAUCGCACGGCCUUGCGCCGGCGAUGGUUCAUUCAAAUUUCUGCCCUAUCAACUUUCGACGGCUGGGUCUUGGCCAGCCAUGGUGACAACGGGUAACGGAGGGUUAGGGCUCGACCCCGGAGAAGGAGCCUGAGAAACGGCUACUACAUCCAAGGAAGGCAGCAGGCGCGCAAAUUACCCAAUCCCGACACGGGGAGGUAGUGACAAUAAAUACUGAUACAGGGCUCUUUUGGGUCUUGUAAUUGGAAUGAGUACAAUUUAAUUCCCUUAACGAGGAACAAUUGGAGGGCAAGUCUGGUGCCAGCAGCCGCGGUAAUUCCAGCUCCAAUAGCGUAUAUUAAAGUUGUUGCAGUUAAAAAGCUCGUAGUUGAACCUUGGGCCUGGCUGGCCGGUCCGCCUCACCGCGUGCACUGGUCCGGCCGGGCCUUUCCCUCUGGGGAGCCGCAUGCCCUUCACUGGGCGUGCCGGGGAACCAGGACGUUUACUUUGAAAAAAUUAGAGUGUUCAAAGCAGGCUUAUGCUCGGAUACAUUAGCAUGGAAUAAUAGAAUAGGACGUGCGGUUCUAUUUUGUUGGUUUCUAGGACCGCCGUAAUGAUUAAUAGGGACAGUCGGGGGCAUCAGUAUUCAGUUGUCAGAGGUGAAAUUCUUGGAUUUACUGAAGACUAACUACUGCGAAAGCAUUUGCCAAGGAUGUUUUCAUUAAUCAGGAACGAAAGUUAGGGGAUCGAAGACGAUCAGAUACCGUCGUAGUCUUAACCAUAAACUAUGCCGACUAGGGAUCGGACGGUGUUAUUUUUUGACCCGUUC
This 922-nucleotide ribosomal RNA is filed under the name Raffaelea fusca. RNAcentral describes it as "SSU rRNA". It matches the Rfam family "Eukaryotic small subunit ribosomal RNA", at positions 149 to 1081 of the family's 1831-position model. Lineage: Eukaryota; Fungi; Ascomycota; Sordariomycetes; Ophiostomatales; Ophiostomataceae. The record is from RNAcentral.